GAGUCUGGGACAAGAAGCAAACGGGCCAGCGCUGGCAGCCUAGCGGCUCUUUCCAAGGAGACUGCCAGUUCUCCUGCACCAGGUAAAACAUCCCUUCAGUGAGCAAAGGAAACUGCAAACCCGCCGCUGCGGCUGCCGUGGGACCUGCCCUGUCCCAACUCAGCUUCCUGCAGGAAUACGGCUGCAACUCUCAAUCGGACGCACCUGCCGAGGAAACAGAAGGAAAAGACUUCAGACAUCUUCUAAGGAGGUCAUGGCUCAUUACCAAGAGCAUCCAGCAGAGACCCCCGUCAUCAAGUUCAAGGACCAGGACUUUUACUCCUUGCGGGAUCAUUGCCUGAGCAAGGGCCAGCUGUUUGAGGAUGAGACCUUCCCUGCCACGGCUUCUUCCAUAGGCCUGCCGCUGCUCGAGGACAUAGACAUCCCCCGCCUGAGGUGGAGGCGGCCGGGGGACAAGGAUUUAUCAAGUACACGCCCUUACUUUAUCCUGGAAGGUGCAAGCAGAUUCGACAUCCAACAGGGAAAUGCAGGAGACUGCUGGGUCCUGGCUGCGCUGGGCUCCUUGACCCAGAACCCGCGGUGUCUGGAGAGGGUCCUGCCCAAGGACCAAAGCUUCUCACACGGCUACGCCGGGAUUUUCCACUUCCAGUUCUGGCAAUGUGGCCGGUGGGUGGACUUGGUGGUUGAUGACCGCCUGCCUGUGCUGUCCCAGAAGAGCCUGGAGUACCUUUUUGUGCAUCCUCGCAGACACAACCAGGAGUUCUGGCCCUGCCUGCUGGAGAAAGCCUAUGCCAAGCUGCAUGGCUCCUACUCCCACCUGCACCUUGGCCACCUCCCUGAUGCUCUGGUGGACUUCACAGGAGGGGUGGUCACCCACGCUGACCAGGGCUCCUACCCAUCCAACCUGGUGACGGUGGUGAAGAUGGCGGCCAGCACGGGCUCCCUGAUGGCCUGCAGCACUCCACUGGGGCCAACAGGCAAGGACCAGGAGCUGGGGAAUGGACUGGUGGCCCGUCACGCCUACACCGUGACAGGAGCUGAACAGAUUCAGUACAGGAGAGGCUGGGAAGACGUCAUCCGCCUGUGGAACCCCUGGGGCAAAACGGAAUGGAGAGGGCGCUGGAGUGACGGGUCCCCGGAGUGGCAGGAAACCCACGACCAACGGAAAAGCCAGCUCUAUGAGAACAAGGAAGACGGCGAGUUUUGGAUGUCGUGUCAAGAUUUUCAAGAGAACUUCUCCCAUCUCUAUAUAUGUAACCAAACUCCAAUCAGCCUGGACCACGGAAACACACUCCAUGAAAGAUGGUCUCAACUGACGAUGUUUAAGAACCAAGAAGGACCCUGGAGGGAGCCCGAGCACUUCUCUGUGCCACAGUGCAUGGAGGACAGCAACGCUGUCGUGUCUGUCACCAUGAUGCCACAAAGUCUGAAGGCAGAAGAGACGCAGAUCCCACUAACCUUCCAGGUGUUCAAGGUUGACUCCCAGCAGUUCCAGGAGAAACUGCCGCCGACGUUUCCUUCCUACUCCAGAUCCGCUGCCCAGGGCACAUACUUAGCAAACAAGUACAACCUCACAGGGACCUUCCAUCUGAGCCCUGGCUCCUACGUCUUGGUCCCCCGGACGAGCAGGGAAGCUCAGUUCUUGCUCCGAAUCUUCCUGAAAUUGCCAGACAUUGACAGGAACCUGAACAACGACUUCAACCUCCAAGAACUUAAGGCAAGUCUUCCAGAAAAUGGCUCUCAAGAAAGCAUUUUCCGCAGAUACGCUCAGCAGCGGCCGGACAUUGAUGCCACCGUGCUUCAGAGCCUGCUCAACCAGGAAUUCCUGAAAGGUAAGUCAUCCCCACUGCCCAGCAGGCCCAGUGUCUGCCCCCCACCCUUCUCACCCAUCCUUCCUGUCCUCCCUCCUCAGGGCCUCCAGGGGAUACAUUCUCCCUGGACGAGUGCAGGAGCAUCGUGGCUCUGAUGGACCUGAAAGUGAACGGACGGCUGGACCAGGAGGAAUUCAUGAGGCUGUGGAGGCGCCUCGUCGAAUGCCAGCGUGUUUUCCAGAAAAUCCGGAAGAGUUCCGGAUUUCUCCUGAGCUCGGAUUUGUGGAAGGCCGUAGAGGAUGCAGGUCCUGGGUGAUGCUAACGCUGCUGGUCUGGAGACCACACUUUGAUGAACCACCGCACAGCCAGCUAGAGAUGAAAUCCUUAAGGGAGACCUCACCAAUUACUAAUCCAGAGUAAUCAAAGGGAGAAAAAUAGAGAAUAGUUGGAGCUAACAUCAAAAGCCUUUGGGGGACAGGCAGGUAACUUAAAGGGGUGAUGGAGCUAACUGUAAGAAGAUAAGGUAUAUCAGGAAUGUGCCAAGUUGGAGAGUGCUUGUUUGGCUUAAAGGCAUUCAAAUCCAUGGAGUUUUCUUAACUCCUCUGAAGAAGCCAAACGUGUCUCUGGGUGGCGUGGGGCCUGCAGGCCACCAGGCCUGUCCCCCUUGGCAGAUGGUGUGGCUUGCAAGGUUGGCUUGCUCUCCAGAGCUGGAAGGCCUGCUCCUUGGCCAGUCUGCAGUUGGCCUCUCUGGGUUUAGGGCCUCCCUGGAGCUCAUAACUAGGUGUGCAGGAUGACAAGGCCCAAAGAGGGCAAGGGGCCGACCUCCCGCCCACCUGAAGCCACCUUCUGAGAUGCGGCCUCCUCUCUGAGGACCAGCCUCUACCCUGGAUGACCAGCCUUAGGACUGACCUCCCUCAUCCAGAGGGCACACCUACCCACACAGGCACGUUCCAUACAUAAGACCCACAAAUGUCAUGGAGAGUGGGGAGCGAGUUUGUUUCACAAGGUCACUGUCAAAGAGAGGCCUGACAGAGGCCGGCUGGGAGCAAAAUCCAGCACCUGGCAGCUCCCACCCCACAUGAGAAUUAUGGGGUGACUGUGGAGGCUGAUGUGUCCCCAGAAGAACAGUCAGUGUCUUGAGUGCCUCCCGUUGGUCUCUGGCUGAACAUUCGGAAGUGUUGCUGGGGCCCAGCAGCCAACAAGAAAGGAAAGGCUGGAGUGUCAGAGACACACCGAAGUGGGAUGGAUGGGCCACGCUCCAGGCUGGGUAGGAUCAAGUGGUAGGAAGCUCACCAGGCCCUGCAGACAGACGACUAGCCAUGAGAACACUGCCCACCCAGCCUCCUCCCCGCUCACGAGCUCACCCCG
RNA transcript from Choloepus didactylus (southern two-toed sloth), 3179 nucleotides. It is a transcript of the gene named calpain 13, with no coding region annotated. NCBI's taxonomy places the organism in Eukaryota, Metazoa, Chordata, Mammalia, Pilosa, Megalonychidae. The record is from RefSeq and is a predicted model, not a curated record. The transcript has 19 exons.